This 2488-nucleotide long non-coding RNA is filed under the name Corvus moneduloides (New Caledonian crow). Its description in RNAcentral is "lncRNA (ENSCMUG00000019529.1)". The record is from RNAcentral. Lineage: Eukaryota; Metazoa; Chordata; Aves; Passeriformes; Corvidae.
CUGAUUCUCUAUGAGCAAUGCCACCUCCUGAUGUCCUGGAUCAGGCCUAGGAGAAAGACCUUUCCUGCAUCAGAUUAAAGAAAUAAUAAAAAUGCACUGAAACCCACACAGACACAAGAACUGCUUCCUGUUUGUGUGACUGUUACGAUCAAGCACUGUUUCAUUAUUGCUAUGUUCCCCUUUUCAAGUCUACAAAAAUAAACUAAUUGGUCCUCUUGAGCAUCAGUGAAAUUACUGGAAAUUGUAGAUGUCCUACUCCAAUUUGUGAAAGAAAUGCCACAUGUAAGCACCAAUUCUAAGAUUUUGGUUAUGGUAUCUUGUGCAAGCUCCAGGGUUGAAGACCAUGGAAUUGCAUCUAGCAAAAGAGAGUUUUAUAGCAUAGGAACUACAGCACGACAUCCUUGUUCAACAUGGUUCAACCGCAGCCUGAACAGUGGUGCCACUGGGGGAAAAUAGCUCAGAUUCUCAUAAAACGUUUGCAAAAAAUGCUGAGAGAGCUGGAAAUGUUGCUGGUGAUAUGAAGUGGAGAGCAGAUAGAUUCCCUCAUCUAUUUCCCACAGCUGAUAAACAGUAAUGCCCUUCAGUCUCUCCCCAGCUGGCCCAGCUUCAGAUGAGUAGCGCAGUAAUGAAAGCCUCCAUAUCCUAUUAGCAGUUCUCAGCCCAUCCGUAGCUCGUUGGAGAGAUGCCUGCUCCAAGCUGAGAUGGAUGGCUUCCUCCGUAAUGAAAACAGAGUGAGGAGCAAGACUGCACAAGCAAGACCUGCUUCUGUCUCAUCCCUGUGCAGGAGGAACGAUACUUGCAGGGGGGAGUUUUGGCCCUCUGUCUCACAGCCAGCUCUGAGGACUGUCCUGAAGGCUACUCCUCACACCAAGCGUCUUACAAGAGUGAUUAAACUGCAUGACUUAGGCUAUGGCAUCCGGAAAACAAGCAAAUACACAAUGUGCCUGCAAUUCAAAUUUUGACAUCCAUGUAUACUGCCUGGAGCUGGCAUCUGCUACAAGAAACACUGUGGAGAAAAGGGCAAAAAAGUAGGUGUUGAAACGUCAUUAUUCUGCAACUUCUUGUGUAGUACCUGACCAAAUUCUUCGAGUAGCUGGUGACCUUAUGGAAAAAUACUAUAAUUCAGAGAAGGCACUACAUGCUAUGUUUGGUCAACACUGCUUACCCUCAGUGAAACUAAACACUUCCAAGGCCCAGAUGAUUGUGGACAUCAGGGGGCCAGCCCUACCUCUCAAUCAGACUGAAGGGCAUAGGAGAUUCUUACCCUCUCCUCUGCCCUGGUUUUCAUGUGAAUAAGUGCCCAGUAAAAAUGGUCUGGAAGGAAUUGGACGUACAAACUUCACCCAGCACCAUGGUCACUUUGAAAAGGCCAAAAUGAGCAUGCAGUCCCAGCAUUUCAACUAGAUGCAAACUUUGAAUUCACCUAGAAAGUCAGGAUCCCUAUUACUGCAUGAGUUGAAGGGUUUUCUCCUGUUCUAGCGUAUUUUCAAGUAGAAAUAGUCACACGUACAGUAAUGCCUAUGGUGACUUAAGGUCACUUAUGUUAGAAAGGGCGUGCAACUACUGAGUAACACUUGAAAGAAGUAGGAUCUAAAGAGAAGCCGAAGAGAGAUCAAAUCAGCACAUAGGCCUUACCUGUUUUCUGAGUUCAUGCUCUGCCUUUUGUCACAGAGAUAAGAAAUUUCUGCUUGUUCUACUGCCACCAGCUGCCAAUCCCCCGAGCUGCUAAUGGCCAACCCACCCAACCCACCUGCUCCAUGUUCCUUCUCACCAGCUAUCUGUACAAAACACCACUAGGAAAAUGAUGUUUUCUUGCUGCAGAAACCAACAAACCAGAAGUAAAGCAAGGCACAGCUGCUGCCUUGAGAAGCCUCAGCCUGAGCUCCAGGCUGAGCACUCAUCUUAGCCACAGGCUGCAGAGCAAAGCAGGAGCAACAAAAGUGAAUUGCUCAAGGGAGUGCAAAAGUUUGAACAUGAGGCAAAUGAAGCAUGAAAAACGAAGCAGUGAACCAAACAAUUAUUCACCACUACAAGAAAAUCCAUUAAAGAAAAACAAAGCCAUCUACAAUAGCGCAGCUGAGGGAGGUAGAGAUGAAAGCACGGAAAACAAUCCCCCCUGAAAAGCUGUCUUGAAAUUCUCAGAGUAAGGAAGAAAAACAGGAGAAGAACAGAGGAGGAGAAAGGAAUGGGGGAAGGUAAAAUAUCAAAAUGCAAAUUAGUAAGCUUCAUUAGAGAACUCAUUCCAAGACACGCAAGGAAAAGACUAAACAAGAGCUACUGCCUCUCUGGGCAUGGUGCCACCUCAUCACAAGCAAGGAGAGAAUCUCAGAUGACUGAGGUAGAAUACCAAAUGAACAUGGAAAUGGUAAAGUGAGUGGUGAAAAAAAGGGGUUUUCCCCUAUAAUUGUAUUCAAGACAUUGUACAUUCAUCACCACUGUGUAGUUCUGUGAUGGUUUCAUUAGCAAUAAAUGUAAUUGACAUCAGUUU